Oncorhynchus kisutch (coho salmon) is the source of this 1977-nucleotide long non-coding RNA. RefSeq lists it as uncharacterized. The transcript has 2 exons. The record is from RefSeq and is a predicted model, not a curated record. Lineage: Eukaryota; Metazoa; Chordata; Actinopteri; Salmoniformes; Salmonidae.
AGCUGUAAGCGGCGGCUAUGUCAGUUUUGUCACAAAACUAAGACUGGUCUUUGGAGUUGUUUGAGGAAGGCCCCAUACCAUCACUCUCUCACUUGAGUAUCUUACCAAGUUAUUUUCAGAUCUAAUUUUUCCUCUUUUUUGUAGCUUUGGCAACUGUUUUCUAAACCUGUUCGCACUGCUCCCUGUAGGCUUUACAGAGCCUCCCCACCCCUUGGCUGCAACCCUCCUAAUUUAGUGUACCCUGCGCGCACAACCCAUGUGGAAUUCCAGGUCUCUGGCAGCAUUUGGAACUGCUGACCUGCGGUUAAGAAUGCUGACUUCAUCUCCGCCUAUGCUGCCCUUGACUUUUUGGCCCUGACAGCGGCAUGGAUCACCCCAGAGAACACUGCUGCUCUUUAUUCAUCUGACAAUGUUCUCUCAUAGUCUGAGAGCAUCUGGUCAUUGUGGUGGUGGCACAGAUGAAGUCCUGUGACUAGUGAGGUCUGGCUGCCCGACAACCUGCACAUUCAACCCCAUCCCCUCCUCCCUUCUACAGACCAUCUCUGGAGUCCCUCUCCCAUUCCUCACUUACAUCGUCACCUCAUCCAUGACCACUGGCUGUGUCCCCUCUGACUUCAAAAUUGCAUGAGUUGCUCCCCUCAAGAAACCAACACUCAACUCAUCUGAAGUCAACAACUAUAGACUUGUAUCCCUUUUCUUUCCAAAACACUUGAGCGUGCUGUCUCUAGUCAACUUUCUCGUGAUCUCUCUCAUAAUGAUCUUGGCCCUAACCAGUUAGGCUUUAAGACUGGUCAUUCCACUGAGACUGCUCUUCUGUGUCAUGAAUGUUCUCCGCCCUGCCUAACCUUGCUCGCUCUCACUCAGAACUUUCAAUUCAAGGUGCUUAAUUUGCAUGGGAAACAUGUUUACAUUGCCAAAGCAGGUGACAUGGAUGAAGUCAACAGUUCCAAAAUAAUGUUUAUAUAGUGUUGUAAUGAGAUGCAAAUAGUUAAAUUACAAAAGGGAAAACAAAUAUGGGUUGUGUUUACAAUGGUGUUCUUCACUGCGCCCAAUAGAUAUAUAUUUUUUUUUUCAAAUUCUUUGUCUGUGUCAUCUGAGGGAAAUAUGUCUCUAUGGUCAUACAUUUGGCAAGAGGUUAGGAAAUGCAGCUCAGUUUCCAUCUGGUUUUGUGGGCAGUGUGCACACAGCAGACCUGGCUCAAGAGAAGACCGGCUUUCUGUGGCCUUUCUCAAUAGCAAGACUAUGAGUCUGUACAUAGUCAAAGCUUUCCUUCAUUUUGGCUAAUUUACAGUGGUAAGGUAUUCUGCCACUGUACUUACUGUUUAUGGCCAAAGACUAUUCUAGUUGGCUGUUUUUUUGUGAAUUCCAUUGUGUUAAGUAAUUAGAUUUUUGUUUUCUCAUGAUUUGUUUGGGUCUAAUUGUGUUGCUGUCCUGGGGGUCUGUUUGUGAACAGAGCCCCAGGACAAGCUUGCUCUUCUCCAGGUUCAUUUCUCUGUAGGUCAAGGCUUUGUUAUGGAACGUUUAGGAAUCACUUCCUUUUAGGUGGUUGUAGAAUUUAACGUCACUUUUGUGGAUUUUGAUCAUUUGCAUGUAUCUGCUUAAUUCUGCUCUGCAUGAAUUAUUUGGUGUUUUGCGUUGUACACAGGAUAUUUUUGCAGAAUUCUGCAUGCAGUCUCACUUUGGUGUAUGUCCCAUUUUGUGAAUUCUUGGUUGGUGAGUGUACCCCAGAUCUCACAAAGGGCAAUGGGUUCUAACUAAAUAAAGAGAAACCCUUGAAUGAAUAGGUUUGUCAACAUUUGACUGGUACUGUAUAUGAAUCUAUUAGUUGCAUGAAUUUUGUAUAAUUGAAAACAACAUUUUUUUUUAUGCCAUUUUGCAUAUCCGUUCAUAAACAAUGUGCUAUGGAAUCGGUACAUCGACUCUCUUCCCAGCUAUUUUGCAAUCUGUAUGGAUCUUAAAUUAAACUGGUAUACUUUC